Molecule: ribosomal RNA, 254 nt
Filed under: uncultured bacterium
Lineage: Bacteria
Description: partial 16S ribosomal RNA
Rfam family: Bacterial small subunit ribosomal RNA
Source: RNAcentral
UACGUAGGUGGCAAGCGUUGUCCGGAUUUACUGGGCGUAAAGAGCGCGCAGGCGGUCGUUCAAGUCGCGUGUGAAAGCCCCCGGCUCAACUGGGGAGGGUCACGCGAUACUGAUCGACUCGAAGGCAGGAGAGGGUAGUGGAAUUCCCGGUGUAGUGGUGAAAUGCGUAGAUAUCGGGAGGAACACCAGUGGCGAAGGCGACUACCUGGCCUGUUUCUUGACGCUGAGGCGCGAAAGCUAGGGAAGCAAACGGG